Molecule: long non-coding RNA, 1543 nt
Organism: Chelonia mydas (Green sea turtle)
Lineage: Eukaryota; Metazoa; Chordata; Testudines; Cheloniidae
Exons: 2
Source: RefSeq, a predicted model, not a curated record
CCGGAGCUGCUUUGCCAGGGCCGAGCCGCGGCGGGGCGUUGCUUGGGCGACGGCGUUUAGUGUCAGCGCCUCCCGGCUCCCUCAGGCGGCGGUCGGCCCUGGGGUGGUGCUCCGGCUGCGCGAUGGGGGCCCGGGUCUGGCAGGGGAACCCGCCCACCACCUCGGUACAGCCCUGCCUGCGAGGGGAGGAUGGAGCUGCGCCCGCCUCCUGCCCACGGAGCACAAGACAUAUAAUUCAUUACAAUCUCUGUACAGAAAAGGCUACUGGUAAAUGAAAAAUUCCAACUUGCGAAGGAAAACCCCUACUCUCCUUCCAGCUGAGGGAGUCAAAAAGGAAAAUCCCUGUCUGAAAAUGAGUAAGCAAAGAGCUCAGCUGUCAUAAAGGAAAGAGGAACAAAGGCAAUGGGUACUUUGACUUAAGCAGUUUCUUUUCAAGUUACCUUAAGUGACGUUAACGAAUAAAACUUGUUGCUGCUGUUUAGUUAAAUUGUGAAAGUUUGUUGCUCAUGUUUUAUUAAAAAAACCUAGGUUUGCCAGGGGGCGGGGAGAAACACACACACACACACCCACCCCCACCCAGAAGACCUAGCAAAGUUCACAGAAAGAUCUGUGAUUUUUUUAUUUAAACAUUUACCAAAUAGUGGAAAAAUUCCCUACUUUCUACCAAAUAUUCCUAAAACAAUAUCUGAAUACACACACUAUAUAGCCAGGAUUAUUAAACAAUGACAAAACUAGAGAUAAUUCUGGUGAUAUUUUGUUUUCUACUUUCUUUAUAUAUACACACCUAUUAAUUUCCAUAGAGUUUAAGGCCGGAAGGGACCAGUAGAUCAUCUAGUCCAGUGAUUGUCAACUGGGGUACCGUACAUGUACCCCUGGUGGUACUCAAAUCUUCCAGGGGGGUACAUGAACUCACUAGCUGAAAACAAAAAGCUAUUUUAUGAUGGACAAGCUCCCCCCACCACAAGCCUUUAUCUGUACUACAAAAACAGACCCACAAAAGGUUUAAGCUCUAGCAUAGUUGGGGGCUAUAGUGUAGUUAGCACACAAAUUUGUCCAAGUAACCUGCCAGCACAACCACAGUAGUUAAAACCAUUAAAAAAAAUAGCUGUGUAAUACCCAAAGAGACACAAUUGAAUCCAAUUAAUUUUGAGACUCAAGACACAGCACUGCACCACAAUUUAUCCUCAAGCACCAGUAACUAGAUCAGGAAUCUAAUCAUGGUAAGAGGCACGCUCAUAAGUCUGGACAUUCCUGCCAAAGCAGCUACUUAUCUCAGUAGCUGCCUGGUGGCAAAAGACACUAAUCAACUGUGAAGGAGAUAAACACUUUCUAAUCACUGGGUUGGUGAAGCAGUUACUGGGCAGUUGAUGUAAUUAAGCAACCUUUAAAAAGCCUUAAGACUGAAAUGUCAAUGAUCUCUCAUGCUUCAGGUGAUUUUUUGUUUGUUUGUUUUACUUCAGAUAUACAGAUGUUUUAUUUAUUAAAGCAUUUGGGACCAACCAACAAAAUUUCCCUUAGAGGAAUGAGAUAGAACAAGUUGCAU